This 214-nucleotide ribosomal RNA is filed under the name fungal sp. Its description in RNAcentral is "partial large subunit ribosomal RNA". Lineage: Eukaryota; Fungi. The record is from RNAcentral.
AAGCGCUUGCAACCAGACUUGCACGCGGUUGAUCAUCCGGUGUUCUCACCGGUGCACUCGACCGUGUUCAGGCCAGCAUCGGUUCAGGUGGUGGGAUAAAGGCCUUGGGAAUGUAGCUUCUUUCGGGGAGUGUUAUAGCCCAUUGCACAAUACCCUGGGGCGGACUGAGGUUCGCGCAUUUAUGCAAGGAUGCUGGCGUAAUGGUCAUCAGCGA